Molecule: long non-coding RNA, 519 nt
Filed under: Carica papaya (papaya)
Lineage: Eukaryota; Viridiplantae; Streptophyta; Magnoliopsida; Brassicales; Caricaceae
Description: long non-coding RNA (CPAP_LNC008082)
Source: RNAcentral
UCUUCUCCCACCUCUGCUGAAUAUUCAUCAUUUCACUCUCUUCUUCUCCUCUGUUCUAUUGUGGGUCUGGGUUCUUCUGUUUCAAUUGGGAGAAGAAGAGAAGAGAAGAGAAGAGAAGAGAAGAUCUAAUUCUAUUAGGGGUUUGUGAUGCUGGGGAGGAGUAUGUGUAUGUAUGCAUGUAUCUAUUUACAUAUCUCAAGUCUCAGUUGCAGUACUGACAAUUAAACUGGUUAUACAGACACAUAUACACCCAUAACUGGACUUCCAGAUCCAUCAACCUACGGACCAGAUUAUCCAUCUCGUAUAAUCUUGUUUUAUCUCUUUCUUGAUAUUAACAGAUUCUGUGAUCGUUUUUAUUUUCUUGUUCUUUCGGGUUUCUGUCUCUCUGUUUCCCUGUUUCUCUGUUUCGUAUCUUCUGAAACAAAGGCUUACCUCUGUUCGUAUCUUUGAUUAAAAAGAAGAAACAAAGAUGGUUCAGAACUCUGCCCUUGAUAUUUCCCUCGAUGUACAUGCACAAGG